Molecule: transfer RNA, 74 nt
Filed under: Gemmatimonadota bacterium
Lineage: Bacteria; Pseudomonadati; Gemmatimonadota
Description: Gemmatimonadetes bacterium tRNA-Arg
Rfam family: tRNA
About the family: Transfer RNA (tRNA) molecules are approximately 80 nucleotides in length. Their secondary structure includes four short double-helical elements and three loops (D, anti-codon, and T loops).
Source: RNAcentral
GUCCCCGUAGCUCAGUUGGAUAGAGCGACUGCCUCCUAAGCAGUAGGUCGCAGGUUCGAAUCCUGCCGGGGACA